AUUGUUAGGGCUAUGGAAACCUGACGGUUUGAGGGCAGACCACCAAGAGAAUUGUUACAUCACAUCCCCAGCUAGACCAGGCUUAGUUUGCUUAGUAAGAAAGGCAAUAUUUUUGUUGAAUUUCACAUUUUCUACCAAGUAACGAAUUAACCUUUUUGAAAUCGCAGAGGAGAUCACAGCAGGAAAUGAAGCCAUAUCCUGUACACGCUGGCUACCACAUAUGAACCAUCAGAGAGAUGGAGGGCAAUGUCUGGAAGAAGGACGGGAAGAGGGAAUAUAAGAACAUUCAGUAUUAAUGGAUUCCAAACUCCGUGUGAUAACCAGCCGGUCCUGGACCAGUUUAUCAUCGCAGUGUGGACUGAUUCUCUUUUGCAGGAAGUUAGUUUUGACUUCACCAGCUGGAUUGGAGGGCACCUGUGGCAUACCUUGUCCUAUUGCUGUGGGGGACUUCGUCCAGCUUUUAGACAUGCAAGACUAAAUGUGAAUACCAUCUAUACAACAAAUGGUAAUUUAUUAUGUUCUCCAGAAACUGAUUUUGCAACAUUGCUAAACUAGCAGACUGGAGAGAUGCUCACAAUUCUCAGAUGAUAUGAGUGUUUCUCUGCAUGGGCAUCAGAGCUGCCACUGCUUGACAUUCCAAGAACUUCCCAGCUACAGGUUCAUCACCUUCUCCUCCCAGGAAAGACAUGUGAGAUUCUGCACAGAGACAGGAAUGUCGUGCCAAAGAGCCUGAAGUCAUGCCAGUGGUGGAGUGCUGAUUGGAACAGACUGGGUUUGGAUGACAUCUCUACUCAUCUGUAAUGGAAGCUGUGUCAAAAUAGGAAAAAUUUUGAAAAACUCUGGUGGCCUUUGGGUGAUGAAGUUAAUGAUAAUUGCCACCUUUUUUCAUGAAGUUUCUUGAACUUUGACAACUUUAGGAACAAUAAUACUGAUAUUGAUAAUAUGUCAUCUUGUUCUCAUGUUCUGUGAUUCUGAAGAAGCAAGAACUGACCACCAUGUACAUCAGCUGGAACCUUUCUGGAAUCCACACAGUGUAAUAAUCCUUAGGAAAAGCUACCUGGGAUUCAGCUGUUACAAUCAGAAGGCCACGAACACUCAACUGGAACCUUUCAUAAUCCCAGUAAAAG
Long non-coding RNA from Homo sapiens (human), 1127 nucleotides. The record is from Ensembl. Lineage: Eukaryota; Metazoa; Chordata; Mammalia; Primates; Hominidae.